UGGAUGGCGCUUCAGCGUCGAGCCCAUACCCGGCCGUCGCGGCUGUAGGUACUUGUGCUUUAUGCCGCGACGAGUAGGAGGGCGCAGGGGUGUGCGUUGAAGGUUCCGGGCGCGAGCCCGUCUGGAGCCGCCCCUGGUGCAGAUCUUGGUGGUAGUAGCAAAUACUCAAGUGAGAACCUUGAGGACUGAGGUGGAGAAGGGUUCCAUGUGAACAGCAGUUGAACAUGGGUCAGUCGGUCCUAAGGGAUAGGAGAAAUCCGUUCCGAAGCGGGACCUUUACUUNAUUGUUGUUGGUCCCGCCG
This 302-nucleotide ribosomal RNA is filed under the name Stylocellus sp. Java 3. Its description in RNAcentral is "eukaryotic LSU rRNA". It matches the Rfam family "Eukaryotic large subunit ribosomal RNA", at positions 1319 to 1596 of the family's 3401-position model. Lineage: Eukaryota; Metazoa; Arthropoda; Arachnida; Opiliones; Stylocellidae. The record is from RNAcentral.